GAGGAGGGGAAGCAGCGGCCCCGAAGUCCCGGGGGGGCCCAAGAGAAGCGCCUGGCGGCGGGAGGCCGAGCCAGCCCUCGCUCCGCCUGGACCGAAGGCGCAGAUGCAGGCAGGACGCUGCUUCCCUGGCCUCCUCAAGGGCCCGCAGGCCAGCCAUGCAGGGCAGAAUCGGGACCCGGGUCCAUCCCUCACGAGGAACCCUGCAAAAUACACUCAGAACUCUGCAUAAAUGAGAGAACUUCCCGUGCCCAGUGAGGGAAGGCAGGAUAACUUUUUGAAAAUGAAAACAAAUGGGAAAUGCUCCUCAUAAUGGAAGAUGUUUGAUAGCAUUAGCCACCCCAAUGGCUCAGGGAGAGGACAGAACCCUGAGGCACCCCACAAGUGAGAGCCCAGGAGUCUGAACACUCAUCCCCCAAUACCACUUUCUGAACACGGCCCAUGAGAAAGGAGCAGAACCACUAUAUAACAGUGUCCUCAGCCCCUCUAGACAGUCCAGAAGGAUGUCAUGGUCGAUGGUAUCAAAAGCUGCUGAGAGAUCCAGCAGAACUAGGAAACAGCUUUCAUCUUUGUCCCUAGCCCACUAAAGAUCAUCGACCAGCACAACGAAGGCAGUUUCAGUCCCAUGGUGAGGCCUGAAUCCCGAUUAGAAGGGAUCCAAAUGGUCCGUAUCCUCCAGAUUUGAAGCUUGAGUCAGUUCAAUCAAUAAAUGCACCAAUAUUAAUAGGAAGGCACAGCGCUCUGCCUGGAAACCAAACAUUAUCCUCUGCAAGGAAGCCUGGGGAGUGCUGGGAACUCGCUCAACAACUGCAUCUGCUGAUUCCUUGAAAUUUCCACAGAUGAAUAUUCACAGAUUUUUAGCUCAAAAUGAUAAAGGCCACAGCGGCAGUCCUGCACACAGGCUGCUGACAUCCCACUGAAAAUGGAAGUUAAGCAAGCUGUGUUCAUAUUUAGACAAUGAAUGUUACAGUGAUUCAGCAAAAGUACUCCAUAUAUAAGAUUUAUGAGUAUCACAAAGAGGAAACAUUCUGAGUUAAAUUGCUUUUUACAUGGGAGUAAGAGAGAGAGCAAUAGCCAUAAUUUCAAACUAAAUGUAUAUAUUCAAUUGUGCUCACUGGAUAUAAGCAGAGAACCUGACACUCCUCUGUGCAUUACAGCACCUGAUAUUAAGGCAAUUAUGAAGUAGCAGCCGCAACACUGCCAAGAGCUACAGGAAUCAUGAACUAGGCAGGGUGUUUAGCUGUCUGAUAGGGG
This is a long non-coding RNA of Podarcis raffonei (Aeolian wall lizard), 1251 nucleotides long. RefSeq lists it as uncharacterized. The transcript is spliced from 3 exons. The record is from RefSeq and is a predicted model, not a curated record. NCBI's taxonomy places the organism in Eukaryota, Metazoa, Chordata, Lepidosauria, Squamata, Lacertidae.